Molecule: ribosomal RNA, 478 nt
Filed under: uncultured bacterium
Lineage: Bacteria
Description: bacterial SSU rRNA
Rfam family: Bacterial small subunit ribosomal RNA
Source: RNAcentral
AGAGUUUGAUCCUGGCUCAGGAUGAACGCUAGCGACAGGCUUAACACAUGCAAGUCGAACGGUAACAGGCCUAGCUUGCUAGGUGCUGACGAGUGGCGGACGGGUGAGUAACGCGUAGGAAUCUGCCCUAUAGUGGGGGAUAACACUGGGAAACUAGUGCUAAUACCGCAUAAUCCCUGAGGGGGUAAGGCUUCGGCCGCUAUUGGAUGAGCCUGCGUCAGAUUAGCUAGUUGGUGGGGUAAAGGCCUACCAAGGCGAAGAUCUGUAGCUGUUCUGAGAGGAAGAUCAGCCACACUGGGACUGAGACACGGCCCAGACUCCUACGGGAGGCAGCAGUGGGGAAUAUUGGACAAUGGGCGCAAGCCUGAUCCAGCGACGCCGCGUGAGUGAUGAAGGCCUUUGGGUCGUAAAGCUCUGUCAGCAGGGAAGAACGGCCGUGUGGUUAAUACCCAUGCGGAUGACGGUACCUGCAGAGAAG